GAUGAACGCUGGCGGCGUGCCUAAUACAUGCAAGUCGAGCGAACGGACGAGAAGCUUGCUUCUCUGAUGUUAGCGGCGGACGGGUGAGUAACACGUGGAUAACCUACCUAUAAGACUGGGAUAACUUCGGGAAACCGGAGCUAAUACCGGAUAAUAUUUUAACCGCAUGGUUCAAAAGUGAAAGACGGUCUUGCUGUCACUUAUAGAUGGAUCCGCGCUGCAUUAGCUAGUUGGUAAGGUAACGGCUUACCAAGGCAACGAUGCAUAGCCGACCUGAGAGGGUGAUCGGCCACACUGGAACUGAGACACGGUCCAGACUCCUACGGGAGGCAGCAGUAGGGAAUCUUCCGCAAUGGGCGAAAGCCUGACGGAGCAACGCCGCGUGAGUGAUGAAGGUCUUCGGAUCGUAAAACUCUGUUAUUAGGGAAGAACAUAUGUGUAAGUAACUGUGCACAUCUUGACGGUACCUAAUCAGAAAGCCACGGCUAACUACGUG
Molecule: ribosomal RNA, 496 nt
Filed under: uncultured bacterium
Lineage: Bacteria
Description: partial 16S ribosomal RNA
Rfam family: Bacterial small subunit ribosomal RNA
Source: RNAcentral